GACGAACGCUGGCGGCGUGCUUAACACAUGCAAGUCGAACGGAAAGGCCCCCUUGUGGGGUACUCGAGUGGCGAACGGGUGAGUAACACGUGAGUAACCUACCCUUGACUUUGGGAUAACUUCAGGAAACUGGGGCUAAUACCGGAUAGGAGCUCCUGCUGCAUGGUGGGGGUUGGAAAGUUUCGGCGGUUGGGGAUGGACUCGCGGCUUAUCAGCUUGUUGGUGGGGUAGUGGCUCACCAAGGCUUUGACGGGUAGCCGGCCUGAGAGGGUGACCGGCCACAUUGGGACUGAGAUACGGCCCAGACUCCUACGGGAGGCAGCAGUGGGGAAUAUUGCACAAUGGGCGGAAGCCUGAUGCAGCAACGCCGCGUGCGGGAUGACGGCCUUCGGGUUGCAAACCGCUUUCGCCUGUGACGAAGCGUGAGUGACGGUAAUGGGUAAAGAAGCACCGGCUAACUACGUG
This 465-nucleotide ribosomal RNA is filed under the name uncultured bacterium. RNAcentral describes it as "partial 16S ribosomal RNA". It matches the Rfam family "Bacterial small subunit ribosomal RNA", at positions 28 to 507 of the family's 1533-position model. The record is from RNAcentral.